GAUGAACGCUGGCGGCGUGCCUAAUACAUGCAAGUCGAGCGAACGGACGAGAAGCUUGCUUCUCUGAUGUUAGCGGCGGACGGGUGAGUAACACGUGGAUAACCUACCUAUAAGACUGGGAUAACUUCGGGAAACCGGAGCUAAUACCGGAUGAUAUUUUGAACCGCAUGGUUCAAAAGUGAAAGACGGUCUUGCUGUCACUUAUAGAUGGAUCCGCGCUGCAUUAGCUAGUUGGUAAGGUAACGGCUUACCAAGGCAACGAUGCAUAGCCGACCUGAGAGGGUGAUCGGCCACACUGGAACUGAGACACGGUCCAGACUCCUACGGGAGGCAGCAGUAGGGAAUCUUCCGCAAUGGGCGAAAGCCUGACGGAGCAACGCCGCGUGAGUGAUGAAGGUCUUCGGAUCGUAAAACUCUGUUAUUAGGGAAGAACAUAUGUGUAAGUAACUGUGCACAUCUUGACGGUACCUAAUCAGAAAGCCACGGCUAACUACGUGCCAGCAGCCGCGGUAAUACGUAGGUGGCAAGCGUUAUCCGGAAUUAUUGGGCGUAAAGCGCGCGUAGGCGGUUUUUUAAGUCUGAUGUGAAAGCCCACGGCUCAACCGUGGAGGGUCAUUGGAAACUGGAAAACUUGAGUGCAGAAGAGGAAAGUGGAAUUCCAUGUGUAGCGGUGAAAUGCGCAGAGAUAUGGAGGAACACCAGUGGCGAAGGCGACUUUCUGGUCUGUAACUGACGCUGAUGUGCGAAAGCGUGGGGAUCAAACAGGAUUAGAUACCCUGGUAGUCCACGCCGUAAACGAUGAGUGCUAAGUGUUAGGGGGUUUCCGCCCCUUAGUGCUGCAGCUAACGCAUUAAGCACUCCGCCUGGAGAGUACGACCGCAAGGUUGAAACUCAAAGGAAUUGACGGGGACCCGCACAAGCGGUGGAGCAUGUGGUUUAAUUCGAAGCAACGCGAAGAACCUUACCAAAUCUUGACAUCCUUUGACAACUCUAGAGAUAGAGCUUUCCCCUUCGGGAGACAAAGUGACAGGUGGUGCAUGGUUGUCGUCAGCUCGUGUCGUGAGAUGUUGGGUUAAGUCCCGCAACGAGCGCAACCCUUAAGCUUAGUUGCCAUCAUUAAGUUGGGCACUCUAAGUUGACUGCCGGUGACAAACCGGAGGAAGGUGGGGAUGACGUCAAAUCAUCAUGCCCCUUAUGAUUUGGGCUACACACGUGCUACAAUGGACAAUACAAAGGGCAGCGAAACCGUGAGGUCAAGCAAAUCCCAUAAAGUUGUUCUCAGUUCGGAUUGUAGUCUGCAACUCGACUACAUGAAGCUGGAAUCGCUAGUAAUCGUAGAUCAGCAUGCUACGGUGAAUACGUUCCCGGGUCU
RNAcentral lists this ribosomal RNA (1372 nucleotides) under uncultured bacterium. Its description in RNAcentral is "bacterial SSU rRNA". It matches the Rfam family "Bacterial small subunit ribosomal RNA", at positions 28 to 1381 of the family's 1533-position model. The record is from RNAcentral.